CAAAGCCGCCGAGCUUGCCUGCGCGCACACAAUCGAGCAACCCAGCACCUCCGCCGCCCGGGAAGCCCAAACCAAACCCUAAGCCUCCGCGACCGGCCGCCGGCGAUGGCCCGCUACGACCGCGCGAUCACCGUCUUCUCCCCCGACGGCCACCUCUUCCAGGUCGAGUACGCCCUCGAGGCCGUCCGCAAGGGCAACGCCGCCGUCGGCGUCCGCGGCACCGACACCGUCGUCCUCGGCGUCGAGAAGAAGUCCACCCCCAAGCUCCAGGACUCCAGGUCCGUGCGCAAGAUCGCGAGCCUGGACACGCACGUCGCGCUGGCGUGCGCGGGGCUCAAGGCGGACGCGCGGGUGCUCAUCAACCGCGCCCGCGUCGAGUGCCAGAGCCACCGCCUCACCGUCGAGGACCCCGUCACCGUCGAGUACAUCACCCGCUACAUCGCCGGCCUGCAGCAGAAGUACACCCAGAGCGGCGGGGUACGCCCCUUCGGCCUCUCCACCCUCAUCGUCGGCUUCGAUCCAUACACGGACAAGCCCGCCCUGUACCAGACCGACCCCUCCGGCACCUUCUCCGCCUGGAAGGCCAACGCCACCGGGAGGAACUCCAACUCCAUGCGGGAGUUCCUGGAGAAGAACUACAAGGACACAUCCGGCAAGGAGACCAUCAAGCUCACCAUCCGAGCCCUUCUAGAGGUUGUUGAGAGUGGUGGGAAGAACAUCGAGAUUGCAGUGAUGACAAAGAAGGAUGGCCUUCGGCAACUCGAGGAGACUGAAAUUGAUGAAUAUGUUGCCGAGAUUGAGGCAGAGAAGGCCGCGGCUGAGGCUGCAAAGAAGAGCGGCCCGAAGGAUACCUAA
RNAcentral lists this ribosomal RNA (855 nucleotides) under Triticum aestivum (bread wheat). RNAcentral describes it as "partial small subunit ribosomal RNA". The record is from RNAcentral. Lineage: Eukaryota; Viridiplantae; Streptophyta; Magnoliopsida; Poales; Poaceae.